CAGGAAAUAGUUUAAGAUAAAAUUUUAAUUUUGGAGAUUAAUGAUAAGAUUGUAGUUCUUUUUCCUGA
This 68-nucleotide transfer RNA is filed under the name Agrilus adelphinus. RNAcentral describes it as "tRNA-Pro". Lineage: Eukaryota; Metazoa; Arthropoda; Insecta; Coleoptera; Buprestidae. The record is from RNAcentral.